UACGUAGGGUGCGAGCGUUAAUCGGAAUUAUUGGGCGUAAAGCGCACGUAGGCGGUUCGUUAAGUCGGAUGUGAAAGCCCUCGGCUCAACUGAGGAAGUGCACCCGAAACUGGCGAGCUUGAGUACGAAAGAGGAUCGCGGAAUUCCCGGUGUAGAAGGUGAAAUUCGUAGAUAUCGGGAGGAACACCGGUGGCGAAGGCGGCGAUCUGGGUCGAUACUGACGCUGAGGUGCGAAAGCGUGGGGAGCAACAGG
This 253-nucleotide ribosomal RNA is filed under the name uncultured bacterium. Its description in RNAcentral is "partial 16S ribosomal RNA". It matches the Rfam family "Bacterial small subunit ribosomal RNA", at positions 524 to 775 of the family's 1533-position model. The record is from RNAcentral.